Molecule: small nuclear RNA, 110 nt
Organism: Balaenoptera musculus (blue whale)
Lineage: Eukaryota; Metazoa; Chordata; Mammalia; Artiodactyla; Balaenopteridae
Source: Ensembl
GUGCUCAUUUCGGCAGCACAUAUACUAAAAAACUGGAAUGAUACAGAGAAGAUUAGCAUGGCCCCUUGCACAAGGAUGACAUGCAAAUCUGUGAAGCGUUCCAUAUUUUU